GGGUAACCUGCCCAAGAGAUCGGGAUAACACCUGGAAACAGAUGCUAAUACCGGAUAACAACAGAUGAUGCCUAUCAACUGUUUAAAAGAUGGUUCUGCUAUCACUCUUGGAUGGACCUGCGGUGCAUUAGCUAGUUGGUAGGGUAACGGCCUACCAAGGCGAUGAUGCAUAGCCGAGUUGAGAGACUGAUCGGCCACAUUGGGACUGAGACACGGCCCAAACUCCUACGGGAGGCAGCAGGG
Molecule: ribosomal RNA, 243 nt
Filed under: uncultured Lactobacillus sp.
Lineage: Bacteria; Bacillati; Bacillota; Bacilli; Lactobacillales; Lactobacillaceae
Description: partial 16S ribosomal RNA
Rfam family: Bacterial small subunit ribosomal RNA
Source: RNAcentral